Molecule: small nuclear RNA, 99 nt
Organism: Homo sapiens (human)
Lineage: Eukaryota; Metazoa; Chordata; Mammalia; Primates; Hominidae
Source: Ensembl
GUGCUCGCUUCGGCAGCACAUAUAGUUGGAAUGAUAGAGAAGAUUUGCAUGGCCCCUGCGCAAGAUGACAUACAAAUUCGUGAAGUGUUCCAUAUUUAA